RNAcentral lists this ribosomal RNA (496 nucleotides) under uncultured bacterium. RNAcentral describes it as "partial 16S ribosomal RNA". It matches the Rfam family "Bacterial small subunit ribosomal RNA", at positions 28 to 506 of the family's 1533-position model. The record is from RNAcentral.
GAUGAACGCUGGCGGCGUGCCUAAUACAUGCAAGUCGAGCGAACAGACGAGGAGCUUGCUCCUCUGACGUUAGCGGCGGACGGGUGAGUAACACGUGGAUAACCUACCUAUAAGACUGGGAUAACUUCGGGAAACCGGAGCUAAUACCGGAUAAUAUAUUGAACCGCAUGGUUCAAUAGUGAAAGACGGUUUUGCUGUCACUUAUAGAUGGACCCGCGCCGCAUUAGCUAGUUGGUAAGGUAACGGCUUACCAAGGCAACGAUGCGUAGCCGACCUGAGAGGGUGAUCGGCCACACUGGAACUGAGACACGGUCCAGACUCCUACGGGAGGCAGCAGUAGGGAAUCUUCCGCAAUGGGCGAAAGCCUGACGGAGCAACGUCGCGUGAGUGAUGAAGGUCUUCGGAUCGUAAAACUCUGUUAUUAGGGAAGAACAAAUGUGUAAGUAACUAUGCACGUCUUGACGGUACCUAAUCAGAAAACCACGGCUAACUACGU